UGAAUGGGGUUGGGAAAUAUUUGAGGCAUUUGAGAAGUAUACAAAAGUUGAUUCUGGAGGUUACACUUCUUUAGAUGAUGUUACUGUGGUUCCUCCUCGAAGAAGGGACAAGAUGGAAACCUUCUUCUUGGGUGAAACGCUGAAGUAUCUAUAUUUACUGUUUUCAGAUAACAAAACUAUUCCCUUGGAUGAGUUUGUUUUUAACACAGAAGCUCAUCCAUUGCCAAUCAGAAGUAAUGCUAAGAGGGAAUGAUAUUCUGACUGCAGCACUGGCAAUUGUACAAUUCCCAUCUUGUUGUUCCUCUAAAUGGAACCAUGUAAUGAACAUUGUUCAAUUGUUGUAUCUUAAAGCAGUAGGGAUCCUGGCCCAUUAUAUUGACAAAUAGCAUUGGGGAUAACUUCAUUUACUCAUCUACAGUGCACGACCUCAGGCUGCCUCUUAACACACUAAAAUUCCCAAUUACGGGAAAAGGUUUUGGAGUUCUUUAUACAGUACGCGUGGCGUAAUACAUCAUUGCAGUGUUGCAUGUUGAUCUUCUGUUUAUUAUAUCUGUCAGGAUAACCUUAACUAUAUUCUAGACUGUUGGUCGGAUAAGUGGAAGUUUCUUCUCAGUUUCGUAUCAUUGUCAAUAUAUCUCUGGUACGAUAAACAAAUGGUCUCCAUAUUGGAUGACAUUUGAUUUUCUGAUUCUGGUUUCUCCAGAUUUACAGCUUUGGUAGGAUAAUGGCCUCCAAAGUUGCAAUUCUGUAUGGCAGAGGAUGAUAAAUUCAUUAAACAUCAACCUGAGGCUGAGUAGCAGUUUAUUCCAGUAGCACAGCGAUUCCUUUUCUGGAUCUGUGCUUUUUUGAGUUUCAGUUGAAUAUGGAUUUGCUGACAAUAAGUAUAUAGAUUAAGUUAAUGACUUGUAUCUGUAAUUUCAGGUUUGUUCAAAGUCAUACAAGGCUUCCCCGCGAUACGGAAUACUUCUUCUAUGAAAUCAGGUCAGAUUAUUAACGUUGCAAGCUGCUUUGAUGGUGCACUUUGUUUUAUAAUCUUCGUGUGGGUGGAGAGUCUUUUUAUUGAAUUUAUUAAAAAUAAGUCUCAGACCGAUGCUUUAAAUUAGUUGAGCCAUAUAAAAUCAAAAUAUCAAUGUAUGGAUCGAAAUAACUGAUUUUCCCAUUUGGUGUUGGUUUAAAUCUUUUAGUAGUGGUAGAUUUUAUGAAAAAAUUUCUUUGUGCUCAUCCAUUGACCUCCCAGUUUUAUAGUUUGUACAUCGUCAUUUUGGGAUGUGCUUCCAUGCUAUUCUGCUAGAGCUUUUGGUGUCUACUUAUUGAAAUAUGGAUUGUUGCUACAACCUUCUUCCAACAACAUCCUUGCAGUUUUAUGGCGCCUCUAGCAAAUGCUCCUUUAUUGACUUCACAUUCAUCCUAUAUAUGUAUUAAACAUUAUUGCCUUUUGCUUCCACAUCUCCACAAAAUAACAUCUGCUUUUGUGACAUAAAAAUGGAUUUCUCCCUCCGGCUCACUAUCCAGCGGCUGGCUGAAGUAUCAUUUCUGCUGUUUAAACUUUUUCUUCAAGUUCUCCCAUUUCCUUAUAAAACAGAAAUACAGAAUUGAACUUUUUGAAAUAGCGCCCAUCUAUAAUUAUGAAGGUCUAAAAUUUACUGAAGAAAAUAUUCCUGAAAAAUUUUCCUCCCCAUUUGCCUCAGUAUUGGCCAUUGGAGCAAAUUGACUAGGUCUAUGUAUUUGAGGACUUUCAGCGGUUUCGCCAGUAAUUGGUUGUGGUAUGUAGCACAGAACCCCUGGUUCUCCAAACACAAACCCGGAAAUACCUAUUGGAAAAGAACUUGCAUGACUGAUUUUCCGAACAGGGAGCUGACUCGCCUAAGACAGCGUACUGUGCACAGGCUUAGGGCUAAAACUUUGUUCACUUUUGUGAUCCGCAAGCUGAAGACUUAUAAAGUGUAAUGGUAAAUUAGGUCGAUAUGUACGUGUUACAGGCUAUAACAUUAUGUAGAUAUAACAUAUCAAGUACACAAUUAUAUGCAUACCGGAUUUAACAAGUAACAACUCAUGUAGGUCGGCCCAAAAAUGCUGACAAAUUGGUACAUAUUAGUUAUUUUUUUGUGCUUAUAUCUUGGUGGAGAACAUGAUUAAAUGAUGUAAUAUACCUAAGUGAUACUCCUGUUUCUGGGUCCAUGAAGACGCAGAUAAGGCAGACAGUCUAUUAACAUAUGCGGCAGAGAAGUUGAAAUCAGUAUUAAAGUUGAUUAGGCCAACUCCACUUUUUUUGUAAAUAACUGUUACUCACAACUUGCUUUCAGAAAAGGGAACAAAACUGGCGGGAGCGAAUUCGAAUAUAUAUUAUCACCGCAAUAAUUUAAUAACCAGGAAACGAUGUUCCUGAAACAAUUCACAAAGCCAUUCAAGCACAGUAGGAGACUACGAGUUGCCCUCCUGCUGUAUAUGUCAAGAGCAUCUUCAAUGGGGCUCUUAAAUCACUCUUUAAAAUAUUAUUAUAUAAUAUUGGCUUCUACUGAAUUAAGACAUUGAAAAAGAUUUUAUCUCCAAUGCUCCUCUUUAGACUUACUCCUUAUUCAUAUUUUAUUCAUAUAAAUGAGAGUGAAAAAUAAAAAGAAAGAAAUGUUGGUGGUAAAGUUGGAGGGAAGGUAAUAUUAUAUUCAUGAAAAAAUGUUAAGAGCUCCUACAUACUCUUUAAAAUAGAGGAGAGAUGACGAGCUCUUAAUUUUUUAAAGAGCUUCAAAGAGCCCAUUGGAGCUCUAUUUCUUGCAUUACUCUUUAAAUUUGAAGUUAAAAACUCAUUUAGAGAUCCCUUUGGAGAUGCUCUAAGAAACAAAAGUUACUGAUUUGAUAUGGGGUUCAAUUAUCGUUUGUUAAAGUUGACUAUUGGAGUAAUUUCACUAUAGGGAAAUAGAAUCUCAUCUACUUGUAAUAUUUUGAUUGAAAUUCGGUGUAUAUUUGUACAAAAAUGAGUAAACGAGGGAGUGGAAUUAACUUUUGAUAAUGGAGGAACAACGGCGGUGGACCAGUCCCGGUUCUCAAUACACGGAAGAAUGUGCAAGAAAAUUGAGUGUGAACCCCAGUGGUGGGAACACCCUUUGUUCUUUUCUUAAUUUUUUCAAAUCUUUGUGUUUACAUGUUUUAAAUAAUUAAAUAUGUUUUGGGUUAAACCACAAAUAAAGUAUAGUCUGAUCCCUUUAAUCCUGCAAAUGUAGAAAAAGCAAAUGUGUACAGCUAGUAAAAAGACUGGAGGUACACAGUACUUUGCAGACUCAACACCCCUUUCCUUGGAAUCUUUUUUGUACUAUAAAAUCACACUUGCUCUGUCUACUCUUUCUUCAAACUCCCAACACAAAAACACACACACACACACACACACACACACACUUACAAGAGUUUGAAGAUGGCUUGGAGCUCACCAAGAUGGAAAUGGGUGGCAGUUUGUACUUUUGUAAUGGCUCAUACAGUUGCUGCUCAAGUUGAAGAUGGUAUCACUUCUUUCUUUCUCUUUUCUACAAAUUACAACUAUUCUUCUUAUUCUUUUUUAUUAUUAUUUGCAAAAGAUUAGUCUGUGUUUAUGGGAGUUAUAGUUUCAAUUUCUUAUAUUGUCAUGGGUGUGGUUUGAUUUCAUGGGUGUUCAUGUUCUUUCUUUAAAAUGAGAUCUGAGCAAAUACUGAGACUCGUGGAUAUGGAAUAUUUUAAUCACUUUUGAAGUACUCACAUUUAUGUCAAUAGGACAGUCAAUUCUCCUGUAUCAUGAACUACACAAACUCUUCUUUCACUUAAAGUUUCUGACCCCAAAAACAUGAGUUUGGUGCUGGAACCUUUAUUUUAGUGUAAAUUAUUGAAAUUUACGAUGUACCUAUUUCAGCCUCUUUUUUUUUUUUUUUCAGAUGUUGCCUUUGUGUUCAUCUAACUUGCAUGUUCUACUUUCCUACCUAUAUAUCAUUCAUUUGUUCAUCAAUUUAUAUUGGUGUCAGGGUUAUACAUUUUUCUUUGGUUUAGCGAGUGACUAAGCAUGUCCAAACCAGUACUAAAUGCUUGGUAAUUUUUUAAGUCAUUUACCUUUUUCUCGUCAUUUGAUUGCAGCCCUUCAUCUGGCGAAUUCAGUGGCAGUAAUAUCAGACUGGGAUCUAGGGGAGACAGCUACUACGAAUAUCUUAUUAAAGUAUGGCUUCAGCAUAGGGACAGAAACUACACAUAUUUAUAUGACAUGUAUGCAGAAGCAAUAAAAGGUGUCAAACACCUUCUUGUUCAAAAAUCUACUCCAAACGGAUUGGUCUUUGUUGGGGAGUUACCUUCUGGGUAUGGUGCUGAAUUCAGUCCAAAAAUGGACCACUUGGUAUGCAUUUCUAAACUGUUUUUUUGCCUCAAUUUUACUCAACCAAAGUAUGUCUGUAUAGAGGCAUAUUUGUUGGUAUUUGCUAAUAUAAAACAUGAAGCAGAUAUUUCGACCAGAAGUAUUCUGUAUAUUGGAAGGAUUGAGGAAUAUGGAUACGGACAAUACAAUUGAUACAAACAAUUAAAUUCUGCCCCUGGUUAUUUAAUACAUCCCCUUUAAGCUACAUGAACAAUUCGCCUUGUUUAAACUUUUUGAUGUAGUUUUCAGUGCCAAUCAAGGUGCAAAUUAAGUCCUCCGUUUUCUUUUACCUAUAUCUAAAAAAUGAGUAACUAAUCGCUCAAUGGUCAUUUUGAAAAUCUCUUUACUAUGUAACAUAUAUACUUGGUAAGAUAUCUCUAUACAUGUGCACUAUAAGAAAUUUACUUUUGACCUUACAACUUUGUUUUUCUCUGCUAUCUUAAGCUGCUAAGAGGAUUGUUCCAAGAAAAUGACGUUGGGCAUGGUUUCGAUCCAAGUAUAGUUUUAGGUUUAUUAUGCUAUACUUGUAAUUGUCCGCAUCCUUUGAUGCAUUGAUUAGAGAUCGUCUGCAAGUUAUUACAUUAAUUUCUUUGUUUCACCUGAUGCUCAUAAAAUAUGUCUUUGAAUACUAUACACUUUGUGAUUGUAAAAUAACAUCCUUCAUGCUCAUUUGCAUCGCUCUCCCUUGAUACAUGUAUCCACAUAUAACAGUGACAUGUAUCAUUACUUGUGUAAUAUAUAUAUUGAGCUCAGUAUCUGAGGUGUUCGGAAAUUAUUAUUUGUGGUUGGCUUAGUAGUUCCAGUUCUCUCAUUUUAAGCUAUUAUAUUGAUGAUAAACCAUCUACUGAAAGCCUGGCACAACAUCCUGGGUUGGUUUUUCCUAGAAGAUUUUCAGACUUAAAUACUAAUAUUUACAAUUUUUAGGUUUGUUUCCUUCCUGGGACUCUUGCACUUGGUGCUACCAAAGGUAUAACGAAGGAAAAGGCUAUGAGAGAAAAUUUGCUCACUUUCGAAGACAUUGAAAACCUGAAGCUUGCAGAAGAGUUGGCAAAAACAUGCUUUGAGAUGUACUCCGUAACUGCCACUGGUCUUGCUCCAGAAAUAGCCUACUUUAGUGUGAAGGUUAGUUGAACUCUCAUAUCAUCUAGUGUUUUUAAAUGUGCUGGUUCAUAAUUAUUUCUAUCUUAAAUUCAGGGGGACUCUGAAGAAGGUUCUGAUGGUGGAAACAAAAGUUCAAAGUAUCUACAUGACAUAAUUAUCCACCCUGCUGAUCGUCACAAUCUCUUACGUCCUGAAACUGUUGAAUCAUUGUUUGUCUUGUAUCGUAUCACAGAAGAUCAGAAGUAAGAUCCAUUUGUUUGUAAUAUUGGAUUAUAUAUUUUGUUCCAUGCUUUUAUUUCACAUAAUGUUAAUAGUUACAUCUACUGUUUGACGACGCAUGCAGAUAUCGUGAAUGGGGUUGGGAAAUAUUUGAGGCAUUUGAGAAGUAUACAAAAGUUGAUUCUGGAGGUUACACUUCUUUAGAUGAUGUUACUGUGGUUCCUCCUCGAAGAAGGGACAAGAUGGAAACCUUCUUCUUGGGUGAAACGCUGAAGUAUCUAUAUUUACUGUUUUCAGAUAACAAAACUAUUCCCUUGGAUGAGUUUGUUUUUAACACAGAAGCUCAUCCAUUGCCAAUCAGAAGUAAUGCUAAGAGGGAAUGAUAUUCUGACUGCAGC
Molecule: long non-coding RNA, 6078 nt
Filed under: Daucus carota (carrot)
Lineage: Eukaryota; Viridiplantae; Streptophyta; Magnoliopsida; Apiales; Apiaceae
Description: long non-coding RNA (DCAR_LNC001531)
Source: RNAcentral